CCCUAAAAGAUUUUUCAUCCUCUUCUUCCUCUCUAAGAUCAGCCGCCUCUCCCUCUUAUCCUUCACCUUCGUUCUCUCCAUUUUUUCCGGCGAGACAACCACCAACGAAGCCGGCAGCUGCUGGCCUCCAUCGUUUCGCCAUCCGCCUCCUCUCCUCUCCGCCUUUUUUCUCCUCUCUCCCGUCAGCAGCCACCGGCGAGCAGGACCAGCAACAGCAGCAGGCUCCACCGGCAAGAAAACAGCAACCAGCAGCACCUCCGACCGGCGAGGGCUCCGAGCAACCAGCAGCCGCAGAAGCCACCAGCAACAGCAAACUCCGACUCUGGCAGAUACUUCUCUGGCCAGCGAACAGCAGCUCCGGCAGGUGACCUCCGGCGAAUCCACAAAGUAUUUCGAUAAGGACAGAUCUUUACAGAUCUGUCCCAGGUUUCGAACUUGAAGUUCAAAUCGAAGAGUCGCCAUGAUACGAGAUUACUCAAUUUCUGUUUUUUUUUUUUUACUUUGUACUUAUUAUUUAUUGCGGUUUGUAAUAAUCUUGUAGCAACUCUAACUCCAUUAUAUACGUGAAGUAUUUUGGGGGAUCAUCUAGGGGGGAAUGGAAUAUGUGCUAAUUGUUUCCUUUUUCUUAGUUUUA
This is a long non-coding RNA of Solanum tuberosum (potato), 634 nucleotides long. RefSeq lists it as uncharacterized. NCBI's taxonomy places the organism in Eukaryota, Viridiplantae, Streptophyta, Magnoliopsida, Solanales, Solanaceae. The record is from RefSeq and is a predicted model, not a curated record. The transcript has 2 exons.